UGCCUCAGUAACGGCGAGUGAAGCGGCAACAGCUCAAAUUUGAAAUCUGGCCCUUUCAGGGUCCGAGUUGUAAUUUGCAGAGGGUGCUUUGGUGUCGGCCGUGGUCUAAGUUCCUUGGAACAGGACGUCACAGAGGGUGAGAAUCCCGUACGUGGCCGCCGGUCUUCACCGUGUAAAGCCCCUUCGACGAGUCGAGUUGUUUGGGAAUGCAGCUCUAAAUGGGAGAUACAUUUCUUCUAAAGCUAAAUAUUGGCCAGAGACCGAUAGCGCACAAGUAGAGUGAUCGAAAGAUGAAAAGCACUUUGGAAAGAGAGUCAAAAAGCACGUGAAAUUGUUGAAAGGGAAGCGCUUGCAGCCAGACGUGCCCGCAGUUGCUCACCUGGGCUCUCGCCCGGGGCAUUCUUCUGCGGGCAGGCCAGCAUCAGUUCGGGCGGUUGGAUAAAGGCCUCUAUCACGUAUCUUCCUUCGGGAUGACCUUAUAGGGGAGGCGCAACACGACCAGCCUGAACUGAGGACCGCGCAUCAGCUAGGAUGCUGGCGUAAUGGCUGUAAGCGGCCCGUCUUGUAACACGGACCAAGGAGUCUAACAUCUAUGCGAGUGUUUGGGUGUAAAGCCCGGGCGCGCAAUGAAAG
RNAcentral lists this ribosomal RNA (633 nucleotides) under Pleosporales sp. RNAcentral describes it as "partial large subunit ribosomal RNA". It matches the Rfam family "Eukaryotic large subunit ribosomal RNA", at positions 76 to 725 of the family's 3401-position model. Lineage: Eukaryota; Fungi; Ascomycota; Dothideomycetes; Pleosporales. The record is from RNAcentral.